AGCAAGUAACGUCUAAAUUAACUUUUUUUUGCUGAUGAACUGUAUAAAUGAGUGUCUAAUAGUGUUUUAAAUGUGUGUAUUCAUUAUUUUAGCAUUUUGGUGCAUUUUCUUAAAAAAUUAAAAAUUCUGCCUAAAUACCACAGUAUAGCUCCACCUUCAGCUUAAAACAUAGAAUUUGACUCAUUUUGAAUAAAUUUUAGCCAAUGGCUAAAGAGUAAGAUACUACGAAAUCCAGUAGAGUACUACGUAGCAGCUCUGUGUCAACGUUAUAAAAGCAUCGGGAGUCUCGGCCACGCCUUGUGGCGAGUUGGGAGUUGGAUUUGCAUGAGAGUGUAGGAGGCUAGCCGUAGUUCAGCAUUAGCAUAUAGCAUUAGCAUAUCCUAGUCUUUAGCAUAGCUUUUAGUGUUAUACAUACUUAUUUAGUGUUAGCUUGGCUGUUGGAUAUUGUAGUUUAGUUACUGUUUGGCUGUUAGUGUAAUUAGGAAAGUAGUUCGGGUUUAGUGCUCCAUAUCGUGUUAGCAUGGUGAGAUGGUGUAGUGUAGUAUGGUUGCGGAGCUCUGUCGGGUUGCACUCCUUUCCGCUGGACUUAGAAAUUAGGCGCCAGUGGUUGCGUGUCUGGAAAAGAUUCAGCUCCCGCCUGGUGCUGUAGUUUGCAACCAGCAUUUUACCCGCGAUUCUGCACGUCUCCGUUCCAAGAGGGAGGCUGUGCCCACCGUGGCUCUUCCGCGAUUUAGAUGCAGCCCACCGACUCUGCUCCCCCACCAUGACGGGCUACAGUCUGAGGCUAAAUCUACCCAAGACACUGGCUGUCAGACUGAUUUAGUAAUCUGCAAGAAUGCACUUGUCCAGGCUGACGUGGUGUUACCCGUAGCAAAGAGCUCACAGCCUCAGUGUCUUGUGACACAGGGACCAUGACAGAAAUUCAUCUUCCAGAAGGUCCCAGAGCAUCCACACCUCCUGAAAAGACCACGGUGUGAGGUGUCUGCUGUUGAUUCCAGCUUCCACCUGAGUGACAGUGCAAGCUCAGUGAACUGUUCAAGGUAAAAAAAAAUUAAAACAUUUCUGAAUUUUUAAGAUAUUAACAAUUAAAUAAGUAUGUGAUUACAUCAUGAAGGAGGCUACUGAUUCUGGCCCUGUGACACUUGGUGGUGACGUGUGAGCUGAUUCACCUGGUAAAUAACUUUUACAUUAAAUAUUUUGUUUUUGCUAUCAAAAGUAAAUUAACUAAUAACCUGCAUUAUUGCAGGACACUCAG
Molecule: long non-coding RNA, 1255 nt
Organism: Nothobranchius furzeri (turquoise killifish)
Lineage: Eukaryota; Metazoa; Chordata; Actinopteri; Cyprinodontiformes; Nothobranchiidae
Source: RefSeq, a predicted model, not a curated record